This 484-nucleotide ribosomal RNA is filed under the name uncultured bacterium. RNAcentral's name for it is "bacterial SSU rRNA". It matches the Rfam family "Bacterial small subunit ribosomal RNA", at positions 30 to 507 of the family's 1533-position model. The record is from RNAcentral.
AUUGAACGCUGGCGGCAUGCCUUACACAUGCAAGUCGAACGGCAGCACGGGAGCAAUCCUGGUGGCGAGUGGCGAACGGGUGAGUAAUGUAUCGGAACGUACCUUUCAGUGGGGGAUAACGUAGCGAAAGUUACGCUAAUACCGCAUAUUCUGUGAGCAGGAAAGCAGGGGAUCGCAAGACCUUGCGCUGAUUGAGCGGCCGAUAUCAGAUUAGCUAGUUGGUGAGGUAAAGGCUCACCAAGGCGACGAUCUGUAGCGGGUCUGAGAGGAUGAUCCGCCACACUGGAACUGAGACACGGUCCAGACUCCUACGGGAGGCAGCAGUGGGGAAUUUUGGACAAUGGGCGCAAGCCUGAUCCAGCCAUGCCGCGUGAGUGAAGAAGGCCUUCGGGUUGUAAAGCUCUUUCAGCCGGGAAGAAAACGCAUGGGUUAAUACCCUGUGUGGAUGACGGUACCGGAAUAAGAAGCACUGGCUAACUACGUG